This 1275-nucleotide long non-coding RNA is filed under the name Elaeis guineensis (African oil palm). Its description in RNAcentral is "long non-coding RNA (EGUI_LNC009916)". The record is from RNAcentral. Lineage: Eukaryota; Viridiplantae; Streptophyta; Magnoliopsida; Arecales; Arecaceae.
AUCCACCUUUAGGUGAUGGGACAUCACCUCUGGAUCUAUGCUAGGCAUAUCUGUAGCUGAUCAGGCAAAGAGGUCCGUAUUUUCCUAUAAAAGUGUGGUUAGUCGAGCCUUGGUUACCUCAUCCAAGUGUGAGUCGAUCUUCACUAUCUGGUUGGGGUUCUCUUUCCUCAGUGGGACUUCGAGGAGGUCCUCAGAUGGCUGGAUGUGCUCCUCAGAUAGAUCAUCUCAGGCAUCCAGCUCUAUCUUGGAAAUUAUGUCAUAAAAUCAAUCAUGUAACGAUUGAGUUUCUCUUUGUAUAUGAGUUAUUGAUAAAUGAAUAAAAAAUAUUCUGACAUUUUUCAUCACAAAGUAAUAUCUUCCUUAAACUCUUAUAUUGUGAUGAAGUCCUUAGAACUAUGUUAGUGUACGAUAAAGAAGAAUUUAUCGUAUAGUUCUCAAACAUGUUCAUGACCAAAUGAUACAUCAUUAUAGGAUGAUGAUGUUUAUCGAGUGAAGAUCGUUGUAUGUCAUAUGGAUUGGUUGUCCUCUUAAUCAACGAGUAUGGUGAUAUUGGUAUAGCAUACAGAUAAGAUGUAGGAAUACAUCAUCACUGAACAAAUAACUCACCUGCUGAGCAUUCUAUUGUCAAGAGCUGCUCGUGAAGUAUAUGGAUAUAAAUAUCCCUCAGACCUGAGAUCACCAUAGUGACUUACAAGUAACUCACUGUGCUUUGGUGUCAGAUUAUCUGGAUUUUUAAUACAGUGAUGGAAGGCUACUGGAUACAGUCAAGUACUUGCAAAAUCUGUGUAUGGAUCAAAAUGAGAUUGAUCCCUCUAAAUUAUUAGAGUUGAUGUAUAGCUAUAUUUUAAUUUAGUAAAACCUUGACCGAGGUAAUCCAUGAGAUAAAUUUGAAAGGUUGAAAGAUAAUAUGGAUGAAGCAAUUUCGAUUGACAGUUAACUUGAGACCAUCCUUGAGCAUUCAGGAUCAAAAGGAUGAAUUAUGUGGUAACUAUAUGCAUAGAUUCUGAAAUAUUCUUUUACGAUACUUCGACUUAUCUGAACGUCAAGAACCAUUACUAGAUGGUAUCUCGAUUAGUGUAGAAAUUAGUUCCUAUGCUAUCGAUUUAGUAUUUGAAUCUAUGGAGUCAUGCACACAAGUCCGAUACCGUAAGAAAAUAUUGACCUAUAUUUAUAUGUUCAAUUUAAAAAUACUUGACUUGAUUGAACAUAUAAGUUAACUUGAUUGAGAAUUAAGUUAUGGAUCGAAUGAGAUUAAAGAGUUGACUAUAUCUAGCU